Molecule: ribosomal RNA, 467 nt
Filed under: uncultured bacterium
Lineage: Bacteria
Description: partial 16S ribosomal RNA
Rfam family: Bacterial small subunit ribosomal RNA
Source: RNAcentral
GACGAACGCUGGCGGCGUGCUUAACACAUGCAAGUCGAACGGAAAGGCCCUGCUUUUGUGGGGUGCUCGAGUGGCGAACGGGUGAGUAACACGUGAGUAACCUGCCCUUGACUUUGGGAUAACUUCAGGAAACUGGGGCUAAUACCGGAUAGGAGCUCCUGCUGCAUGGUGGGGGUUGGAAAGUUUCGGCGGUUGGGGAUGGACUCGCGGCUUAUCAGCUUGUUGGUGGGGUAGUGGCUUACCAAGGCUUUGACGGGUAGCCGGCCUGAGAGGGUGACCGGCCACAUUGGGACUGAGAUACGGCCCAGACGCCUACGGGAGGCAGCAGUGGGGAAGAUUGCACAAGGGGCGGAAGCCUGAUGCAGCAACGCCGCGUGCGGGAUGACGGCCUUCGGGUUGUAAACCGCUUUCGCCUGUGACGAAGCGUGAGUGACGGUAAUGGGUAAAGAAGCACCGGCUAACUACGU